Molecule: ribosomal RNA, 1748 nt
Filed under: Palavascia patagonica
Lineage: Eukaryota; Ichthyosporea; Ichthyophonida; Palavasciaceae
Description: eukaryotic LSU rRNA
Rfam family: Eukaryotic large subunit ribosomal RNA
Source: RNAcentral
UUUCAAAGCUCCAGGGGCGACUCUGGCGCGUUGUAGACUAAAGGAGCGUUAUCCAUUUUGUACAGCUCAGGUACAGAUCCGUUGGAACGCGGUAUCAUAGAGGGUGAGAAUCCCGUCCAUGACCUGAGUGAAUUUUUUUCUGUGCAUUAUUGCGUUGCGCUUCCGAAGAGUCGGGUUGUUUGGGAAUGCAGCCCAAAAUGGGUGGUAAACUUCAUCUAAGGCUAAAUACUGGCAUGAGACCGAUAGCGAACAAGUACCGUGAGGGAAAGAUGAAAAGCACUUUGAAAAGAGAGUCAAAAAGUACGUGAAACCGUUAAAAGGGAAACGAAUGGGGCUAGCAUUUGCACUUGAUUGCAAUCAGCCGGACGCUUAUUUGGAUGUGACGGUGGUACUUUUUUUUUGUUUUAGAGAGCUCUCUGAGCGUACCGAAAGGUGCGAUGCUAGGGGGCCUCACGCCGUUACAAAUCAUUUUUCCAAGUAGGUGGGAGAGCCGGUGCACUUGCGGUCAGUGUCAGGCCAACAUCAGUUCGGUUAUUCUUGCCAAACGAAGGAGACAGGAACCUUAAGGGGAAGGUGGCUGUUAUAAUACGUUUUAUAUGUGUUGUAGCAGCGUUAUAGCCCCUUUUGGAAAAUUUUCUAACGUCGCGGCCCGGACUGAGGAAACGCAGCAGCACGCGUUUUUUUUGAAUGGUUUUUUGCUGUUCAAAAAGGAUAAACUUGCAGAGCUUCGGCUGGGUUGCCAGGCAACCUGUGACUGUUCCAAAAAGGGGCAGUGGCAGAAGUCUAUUUGUGCAGCUCACUUACAAGCCACUGAAGUUUACGCAUUAUACGUGCUUGUGAUGUUGGCGAAAUGGCCUUCAUCUGACCCGUCUUGAAACACGGACCAAGGAGUCUAACAUAUGCGCGAGUCUUUGGGUGACAAACCCGCAGGCACAAUGAAAGUGAAGGCGCGCCAUUUUUUGUCGCACGCCGAGGUGAGACGCCUCUUUAUUAUAGAAGGGGCCGCAUCAUCGACCGAUCCGGAAGGGUCAAGCUGAGUAAGGUUCGUCCUCUCUGGCUUGAAUUUCUGAAAGAUUUGAGUAAGAGCGCAUCUGUUGGGACCCGAAAGAUGGUGAACUAUGCCUGAACAGGGUGAAGUCUGAGGAAACUCAGAUGGAAGCUCGCAGCGAUUCUGACGUGCAAAUCGAUCGUCUGAUUUGGGUAUAGGGGCGAAAGACUAAUCGAACCAUCUAGUAGCUGGUUCCCUCCGAAAUUUCCCUCAGGAUAGCUGGAACUCGAAACGCAGUUUUAUCAGGUAAAGCGAAUGAUUAGAGGCCUUGGGGUCGAAAUGACCUCAACCUAUUCUCAAACUUUAAAUAGGUAAGAAGUGCGGCUUGCUUAAGUGAAGUCGUGCCAACCGAAUGCAAGAGUUUCAAGUGGGCCAUUUUUGGUAAGCAGAACUGGCGAUGCGGGAUGAACUGAACGCGAAGUUAAAGUGCCAAAGUUCACGCUCACCUAGAACCCAUAAAAGGUGUUGGCUGAUGAAGACAGCAGGACGGUGGCCAUGGAAGUCGGAAUCCGCUAAGGAGUGUGUAACAACUCACCUGCCGAAUCAGCCAGCCCUGAAAAUGGAUGGCGCUCAAGCGUGACACUUAUACUUUGCCGUUGCCGUAAACAAAGCAGAUGCAUACUCUUUAUUUUACCGCAACGAGUAGGAGGGCGUGGAGAUACGUGAAGCAGCUUCGGGCGUGAGCCUGAGUGAAACUGUC